RNAcentral lists this ribosomal RNA (189 nucleotides) under uncultured Clostridium sp. RNAcentral describes it as "partial 16S ribosomal RNA". The record is from RNAcentral. Lineage: Bacteria; Bacillati; Bacillota; Clostridia; Eubacteriales; Clostridiaceae.
GUGCUUAACAUGCAAGUCGACGAUGAACCUUCGGGAGNGGAUUAGGGCGGACGGGUGAGUACACGUGGGUAACUGCCUCUAGAGGGGAAUAGCCUUCAGGAAGAUUAAACCGCAUAAGAUUGUAGCCGCAUGGCAUAGCAAUUAAAGGAGUAAUCCGUAUGAGAUGGACCCGCGCGCAUUAUAGUUGGU